This 1569-nucleotide ribosomal RNA is filed under the name Salamandra algira (North African fire salamander). RNAcentral's name for it is "16S ribosomal RNA". It matches the Rfam family "Bacterial large subunit ribosomal RNA". Lineage: Eukaryota; Metazoa; Chordata; Amphibia; Caudata; Salamandridae. The record is from RNAcentral.
GUUAUUAUUCUAGCCACCCAUAUAACCAAUAAUCUUACUAACAUUAAAAUAAAUCAUUUAAUCAUGGAAGUAUAGGCGAUAGAAACCUUUAUUUGAGCAAUAGAAAUAGUACUGCAAAGGAAAGAUGAAAUAAAAAUGAAAUAAAUAACUAAAACAAAUAAAAGAAAAGAUUAACUCUUAUACCUUUUGCAUAAUGGUCUAGUAAGUUAAACUUAACAAAAAGAGAUGAAGUUAGUUUCCCCGAAACUAGACGAGCUACUUAAGAGCAGCAUAAAUGAGCCAACCCUUCUCUGUGGCAAAAGAGUGGGAAGACUCCUAAGUAGAGGUGAUAUACCUAACGAGCCUAGUGAUAGCUGGUUGCUCGAGAAAUGGAUUUUAGUUCAGCUUAAAGCCCUUUAAAUUUAAUAAAAAUAACAAUAAUAGGACUUUAAAGUUAAUUAAUAAAGGUACAGCUCUAUUAAUAAAGGAUACAACCUAUAAUAUGAAUAAAGAAUAUAAUAACGAAAGAAAUUAAUAAUGUAGGCCUAAAAGCAGCCACCAUAAAGAAAGCGUCAAAGCUCUUUUCUAAAAAACUUAUUAUACCACUAAUUAAUCUAAAUUCACAGACACUAUCGAGCUAAUCUAUUUUAUAGAUGAACUUAUACUAGAAUGAGUAAUAAGAAAAAAUUCUCCAAAUACACGUGUAAAUCAGAACGAAUAAUUCACUGAUAAUUAACGGCCAAAUAUAAUACCAAACAAGAAAAAUAUAUUAACUUAAUCGUUAAUCCAACACAGGAGUAUAAAAGAAAGAUAAAAAGAUUAAAAAGGAACUCGGCAAGCAAGAACUUCGCCUGUUUACCAAAAACAUCGCCUCUUGUCUAUUAAAUAUAAGAGGUCCCGCCUGCCCAGUGAUCUGUUUCAACGGCCGCGGUAUUAUGACCGUGCAAAGGUAGCGUAAUCACUUGUCUUUUAAAUAAAGACCUGUAUGAAUGGCAAAACGAAAGUUCAACUGUCUCUUUAAUCCUAUCAAUAAAAUUAAUUUUUCCGUGCAGAAGCGGAAAUAAAUAUAUAAGACGAGAAGACCCUAUGGAGCUUAAAACAUAAAAUUAAUUAUAUUAAUUAUAUUAAUCAAUAGGUAAAAGAUAAAUCUAUAUAGUAUAAUUUAAGUUUUGGGUUGGGGCGACCACGGAAGAAAAGAAAUCCUCCGAGAUAAACAAUUUAGAAAUACAUUUCGAAAACUAAGACAUUUAUUACAAAUGAUCCACUAAGUGACCAACGAACCAAGUUACCCUAGGGAUAACAGCGCAAUCCUUUCUAAGAGUUCAUAUCGACGAAUGGGUUUACGACCUCGAUGUUGGAUCAGGACACCCCAAUGGUGCAGCCGCUAUUAAAGGUUCGUUUGUUCAACGAUUAAAGUCCUACGUGAUCUGAGUUCAGACCGGAGUAAUCCAGGUCAGUUUCUAUCUAUACCAUAAUUUUUUCUAGUACGAAAGGACCGAAAAAAUGGAGCCCAUAAUAACCUAAGCUCCUUGCACUAUUGAAAACAAGUAAAAUAGACAAACAAACCUACUACCCAAAGAACAGGGGUUA